UUUCGCAAUGCCCGAAAGGGUGACGAAGCGACGCCGCGUGUAGGAAGAAGGCCUUCGGGUUGUAAACCACUGUCGGGAGUUAGGAAAUGCAGGUGCGUUAAUAGCGCACUUGCUUGACUAAGGCUCCAGAGGAAGCCACGGCUAACUCUGUGCCAGCAGCCGCGGUAAUACAGAGGCGGCAAGCGUUGUUCGGAAUUAUUGGGCGUAAAGAGCACGUAGGCGGCCUUGCAAGUCAGUUGUGAAAGCCUUCCGCUUAACGGAAGAACGGCAUCUGAUACUACAGGGCUUGAGUACGGGAGGGGAGAGUGGAACUUCUGGUGGAGCGGUGAAAUGCGUAGAUAUCAGAAGGAACGCCGGCGGCGAAAGCGACUCUCUGGUCCGAAACUGACGCUGAGUGUGCGAAAGCUAGGGGAGCAAACGGGAUUAGAUACCCCGGUAGUCCUAGCCGUAAACGAUGGGCACUAAGUAGAGGGGUUUU
This 478-nucleotide ribosomal RNA is filed under the name Planctomycete enrichment culture clone MSGTP09. RNAcentral's name for it is "bacterial SSU rRNA". It matches the Rfam family "Bacterial small subunit ribosomal RNA", at positions 364 to 832 of the family's 1533-position model. The record is from RNAcentral. Lineage: Bacteria; Pseudomonadati; Planctomycetota; Planctomycetia; Planctomycetales.